UUCUGGUUGAUCCUGCCGGAGGUCAUUGCUAUCGGAGUCCGAUUUAGCCAUGCGAGUCGCACGAAUUAGAUUCGUGGCGAACGGCUCAGUAACACGUGGCCAAACUACCCUAUGGACCUGGACACUCUCGGGAAACUGAGGUUAAUCCGGGAUAGCGCUCCCACGCUGGAACGCGGGGAGCGUGAAACGCUCCGGCGCCAUAGGAUGUGGCUGCGGCCGAUUAGGUAGAUGGUGGGGUAAUGGCCCACCAUGCCGAUAAUCGGUGCGGGUAGUGAGAGCUAGAGCCCGGAGACGGACUCUGGGACAAGAGUCCGGGCCCUACGGGGCGCAGCAGGCGCGAAACCUUUACACUGCACGACAGUGCGAUAGGGGGAUUCCGAGUGCGAGGGCAUACAGUCCUCGCUUUUGUGUACCGUAAGGUGGUACACGAAUAAGAGCUGGGCAAGACCGGUGCCAGCCGCCGCGGUAAUACCGGCAGCUCGAGUGAUGACCGAUUUUAUUGGGCCUAAAGCGUCCGUAGCCGGCCAGUCAGGUCCGUCGGGAAAUCCACUCGCUCAACGAGUGGGCGUCCGGCGGAAACCGUCUGGCUUGGGACCGGGAGAUCUGAGGGGUACGUCUGGGGUAGGAGUGAAAUCCUGUAAUCCUGGACGGACCAUCGGUGGCGAAAGCGCCUCAGAAGAACGGAUCCGACGGUGAGGGACGAAAGCUAGGGUCUCGAACCGGAUUAGAUACCCGGGUAGUCCUAGCUGUAAACGAUGCUCGCUAGGUGUGACGCAGGCUACGAGCCUGCGUUGUGCCGUAGGAAGCCGUGAAGCGAGCCGCCUGGGAAGUACGUCCGCAAGGAUGAAACUUAAAGGAAUUGGCGGGGGAGCACUACCAACCGGAGGAGCCUGCGGUUUAAUUGGAGUCAACGCCGGA
RNAcentral lists this ribosomal RNA (918 nucleotides) under uncultured archaeon. RNAcentral's name for it is "bacterial SSU rRNA". It matches the Rfam family "Archaeal small subunit ribosomal RNA", at positions 1 to 922 of the family's 1478-position model. The record is from RNAcentral.